RNAcentral lists this ribosomal RNA (526 nucleotides) under uncultured Pseudomonas sp. Its description in RNAcentral is "bacterial SSU rRNA". It matches the Rfam family "Bacterial small subunit ribosomal RNA", at positions 1 to 526 of the family's 1533-position model. The record is from RNAcentral. Lineage: Bacteria; Pseudomonadati; Pseudomonadota; Gammaproteobacteria; Pseudomonadales; Pseudomonadaceae.
UAGAGUUUGAUCAUGGCUCAGAUUGAACGCUGGCGGCAGGCCUAACACAUGCAAGUCGAGCGGCAGCACGGGUACUUGUACCUGGUGGCGAGCGGCGGACGGGUGAGUAAUGCCUAGGAAUCUGCCUGGUAGUGGGGGAUAACGCUCGGAAACGGACGCUAAUACCGCAUACGUCCUACGGGAGAAAGCAGGGGACCUUCGGGCCUUGCGCUAUCAGAUGAGCCUAGGUCGGAUUAGCUAGUUGGUGAGGUAAUGGCUCACCAAGGCGACGAUCCGUAACUGGUCUGAGAGGAUGAUCAGUCACACUGGAACUGAGACACGGUCCAGACUCCUACGGGAGGCAGCAGUGGGGAAUAUUGGACAAUGGGCGAAAGCCUGAUCCAGCCAUGCCGCGUGUGUGAAGAAGGUCUUCGGAUUGUAAAGCACUUUAAGUUGGGAGGAAGGGCAGUUACCUAAUACGUAUCUGUUUUGACGUUACCGACAGAAUAAGCACCGGCUAACUCUGUGCCAGCCGCCGCGGUAAUAC